Molecule: RNA transcript, 2669 nt
Organism: Callorhinchus milii (elephant shark)
Lineage: Eukaryota; Metazoa; Chordata; Chondrichthyes; Chimaeriformes; Callorhinchidae
Gene name: tonsoku like, DNA repair protein
Exons: 15
Source: RefSeq, a predicted model, not a curated record
AGAGUGAGGAUUGUGACUGAGUGAUGCGCUGAGACUCUCACUGUGAGGCACUGCACUCAGCUGUGGACGCUCUGCAGCUGUCACCAGGAUGAACAGAGCAAAGGUCUGGAAGAAGAACAUAAAGGGUGAGACUCGUCUCCACAAGGCCUGUAUCAGGGGUGACCUGCAACUGGUCACCACCCUCAUUGAACAGGAACAUUCCUUGAAUGAGAGAGACAAUGCUGGCUGGACACCAUUACACGAGGCUUGUAACCAUGGCCACAUCGAAGUUGUGCGUUGUUUGCUGGACGCCGGGGCGAAGGUCAAUGACUCAGAUGACAGCAUGUGUGAAGGAAUCACCCCACUCCACGACGCUCUGAAUAACAGGAGGCUGAGCGUGGUCGAGUUGCUGAUAGCCAGAGGAGCAUCCGCCAAUCUCAGAGACAAAGAGGGGUCCACACCUCAGGAUAUCAUCAAUAACUUGUGCCAGAUGUCAGACCUAGACAUGAAAACCCAGGACAGGCUGGUGAACAUAAAGAGACGACUGCAGACAACCUCACUGGCAGCUGUGAAUGGUGAUGAGAAUUUUGGCCAAGUGGUUAACCCUGAGCCCAGCCCGUCGCUUGCGGUCACUGGGUCUAAGGUAUGGAACCUUCCGGAGCUCCCACUGGGCAAGCGAGCAUCCGAAGCCGAGCUCAGCCCUCCCUUGACCGAAGACUGGUUGGACAACAGCCCCUCGAAGCGCAGGAGACAGGUCACCUUUUCUUCCUGGGACGCAGACUCCUUGGAGGACGAGAUCUUGCCCAUGUUCCACCUGACCAUGAGCAGCCAAGGCUCGCAGGUCACAGAGCAGAAUUCACAGCCCGAGGCCGGUGAGGGCACAGGGCACUGGGCCGAGAGUCAAGCGGGAGUGGUGGUGGACAGCUCAAUGAUAUACUCGUGCGAAAGCGACGAGGGGAGCACCACAGACGUCCUACAGGAAACCAGGGAUUCAUCAUCAACAGAGAUAUCAUCACCCUCACCUCCAUUCCGAUCCCACCCUCCCCCUCCUGGUAACCCUGCACCUCUCACAGACCCCGGGGACUGGGCGGGGGGCCAGGCGGACCCCAAGGCAGUGGAGAAAGGCUAUCACUGGUCAGACUCUGGGCUGGCGGGUGACUGGCCGUGUGCAGGUCAAGGCCAGGACAGGGAGAUGGCAGUGAGGGAGGGCACACACCUCACACCUCAUUCCUCCCAGGGAGCAGCGCAGCCCAUGGUAUCGGUGGUCGGUGUCCCCCUGGGAAUCCGUAUCAGAGUCCGGGUCAGAGACAUCACCUUCCUCAUCGGUGUGCCUCACAGUCGGACACACGAUGUGGGCUGGCUGGCUGAACAGGCGAGCAACAGAUACCAACAGACCUGUGGGUUCCUCCCGCGGGUGACCCUGACCAGCUCUGGGGCCCGGCUCCACCCGCAGGAUCUCGUACUUCACGUUCUCCGUGACAACGAGGAGGUUCUGGCGGAGGUGACGGCCUGGGAUCUGCCUCCUCUGAGUGACCGUUACACCAGGUGCUGUCAGCUCAUGAGACUGGACAGGGUCCCGGCCUUGGCGAAGGUGCUUAAGCUGCAGGAGACCAGCCCGAGCCUGGACCUGUCUGACCUGGAUCUGGGGCGAGAGCAGUCGCCCCCCUUGCUCCGCGCCCUCCAGCGACAGAGCGAGACCCGCGAGCUGCGUCUGAGCAGCAACAGGCUGUGUGACAGGCUCCUGGAGGAGCUGGGAUCCACCCUGGCCACCCUGCCCGGCCUCAGCCACCUAGACCUGGCCUCCAACCGCAUCUCUGCCCCCGGCCUGAUGGCGCUGUGUGACGCCACACUCGGGCCCUCUGACCUCAGCUUGCAGAGUCUGGAGAAGUUGGAUUUGAGUAUGAAUGCCCUGGGUGAUGCCUGUUCUCCCUCCAUCGCCCGACUCCUGACCACCUGCCCCAGACUGAACACGCUCAGACUCCAGUCCUGUCAGCUCACAUCGACGUUCCUGCAGUGUGACUCUCUGAGAGAAGCCAUCAGAGGAAGCUCAGAGCUGAAGAGGCUGUGCCUGUCGCACAAUAUGCUGGGCUUGAAUGGGGUGAAGCUGCUCACACAGACCCUGCCCCAACACAUCUCUCAUCUGGACAUCGCCUCGGUGGUCGGGAGCCUCAGCCACAAAGCUUUUAUCAGUCACAUUGCGACUUACCUCUUACAGGAUGCCUGUGCUCUGACUCACCUCAACCUGUCUGAAACAGUUUGACAGACGACGAUAUCCAAGACUUUGCCAGCUCCCUGAUGUCCUACCCACUGCUGGUCUCUCUCGACCUGUCAGGCAAUUUGGGCAUUACUGAUACUGGGCAGGAGCUUCUCCUCUCGGCUCUCAGCAGCCGGGAUUCCCGCAUGGACAGCCUCAUCCUCGCAGGUUGUUCCAUCAAAAAUUAGCAACGGGUUCAGAAGAAUGAGACCCUCUCCUGAGAAGAAACUCCUCAACUUGCAACAAGCUCAGAGCCUAGUGGCCAAACAACAGCAGCUUACACUUACAUAUAGGUUCCUUCGCAACAGCCAGGGGGGGACUAACCUUUUGCUAUUGAGGACCGGAUGCCUUGUUUGAGAAAAUUCCGCAGGUCUCAUAAGCAAUAUGUUUCUCUUCCAGAAACAUCACAUAACAUAUCAGGAGGGCUGGAGGGCAG